Molecule: unclassified non-coding RNA, 217 nt
Filed under: Glomeromycotina sp.
Lineage: Eukaryota; Fungi; Glomeromycota
Description: partial contains 5.8S ribosomal RNA and internal transcribed spacer 2
Rfam family: 5.8S ribosomal RNA (bases 1-71)
Source: RNAcentral
GUGAAUCAUCGAAUUUUUGAACGCAAAUUGCACUCUCUGGUAUUCCGGAGAGUAUGCCUGUUUGAGGGUCAUUUUAAAUAAAAAUCAGUGUGGUGGCUGCCUUUCGUGAUGACGCACCGAAUUUUGUACGUCGUGCCUUCGUUUGAUUGACCUAUUAUGGUGCAUGAUUUUCUGCGAACUUUUUUAAAUUAAUGGACGUACGUUUGCGGUAGCGAUU